This 2959-nucleotide unclassified non-coding RNA is filed under the name Drosophila ananassae. Its description in RNAcentral is "GF14455". The record is from RNAcentral. Lineage: Eukaryota; Metazoa; Arthropoda; Insecta; Diptera; Drosophilidae.
ACUGCAUUGGCAUACGGUUCAACUGACUUUUUUACGGAGUGAAGUGCAGAAAAAUGAGUUAAGCUUUCCCUAAAGCCAUAUAUUUUACAUAACGGUAUUGCGAGUAAUAUUCGAAAUAGGUGGAGCGCGGCUAGACCCGCUGCCAAUACUACCCCACCCCUCCUGGCCCAUGAAAUCAAUUAAGCGUAGAACGCCGUAACGCGAAAAUCGAUUUCGCUUUCGGCUGCGGGCGCAAGCAAUAACAGAAACACCAGCUAGAAUGUCCCCGUGGACAGUGGAUACGGGAAUGGAGAUGACUGCCAACGGGCGGCGGAGGAAGGCAAUGCACCAGCCUGGUUCUACCAGCUGGCACGGACACUGGCAACGGGCACUGCUUCUGGCGGGGAUUAUCCUGAGUAUUCUAACGACAGGCUGCGAUGCCACGGACACCGACAUCGCCCUGGACGCCAAGGCCACUCUGAAUCAUCGUAUCCAAAGCCUCGAUCUGCUCGUCUUUGUGUUCCUGUUGGCCCUUACGGUUCUCACCAUAUGGCUGUUCAAGCACCAUCGAGUGUCCUGGCUACAUGAGACGGGUCUGGCCGUAAUUUACGGUCUGAUUGUGGGAGCCAUAAUACGCUAUGCCGGCACCUCCACCACCCUGGUCCAUAUGCAGGUGGAGCCCCAGGGCACUCCGGUCUACAGCGAUAAGCUGCCACCAGAUACGCUCUGGUUUAAGUAUCCAGUCAACCAGACCAAUGGCACCAAGAACCCCGAGGGCAUUAAAACAUAUGCCUACGUUUUCCGCGGGCAGGUCUACAACGAGGAUGAGAACGAAAUAGAUCUGAAGGCGACAUUCGAUCCGGAGGUAUUCUUCAACAUCAUACUGCCUCCGAUCAUCUUCUACGCGGGCUACAGCUUAAAAAAAAAAUAUUUCUUUCGAAAUUUGGGUGCCAUUCUUACCUUUGCUAUUGUGGGGACCACACUGUCGGCCUUCCUCAUCGGUGGUUUCAUGUACGGCUGUGUGAAACUGAUGCCCAACUACCUGAGCACCGGCUUCUCGUUCUUGGACACCCUCUACUUUGGAGCCUUGAUUUCGCCCACAGACCCGCUCACCAUUCUGGCCAUUUUCAGUGACCUGCGGGUCGAUGUGAAUCUGUACGCUCUGGUUUUGGGGGAAUCUGUCCUGAACGAUGCCGUGGCCAUUGUUCUGAGCGGAGCCAUUCAAAACUAUGGAGAACACUAUUCCAACAGUGGGGAGUUCGAAACGACGGCGUUUUUGCGGUCUAUGAGUGACUUCUUCUCCAUUUUCCUACUGUCGCUGAUGAUUGGAGCUGCGAUGGGCUGUCUGACAGCAUUGAUGACAAAGUUUACGCGGGUUCGCGAUUUCCCACUCUUGGAGUCGGCUCUCUUCGUCCUCAUGAGCUACAGCACUUUCUUGCUGGCCGAGGCGACGGAGCUGACGGGAGUGGUGGCCGUGCUCUUCUGUGGCAUCUGCCAGGCCCAUUACACCUACAACAAUCUCUCGGAGGACUCCCGGCAGCGAACAAAACAAAUAUUUGAGUUACUCAACUUUCUGGCAGAGAACUUUAUCUUUUCCUACAUUGGAGUGUCUAUGUUUACCUUCCCGAAGCAUCAUUUUGAUGCCGGAUUUAUUAUAACAGCUUUUAUCUGCGCCGCGCUGGGACGAGCCGUCAACGUGUAUCCCCUAUCCUGGUUGCUAAACAUCAGACGAAAGCCCAAAAUCUCCACAAACUUCCAGCACAUGCUCUUCUUUGCUGGGUUACGAGGCGCCAUGUCCUUUGCCCUGGCGAUUCGGAACACAGUAUCUGAUGCUCGACAGACCAUGUUGACGGCCACGUCCCUGAUUGUUAUCUUCACGGUCAUUAUACAGGGCGGGGCGGCUAAUUUUCUGCUCAAUUGGCUGAAGAUACCUGUUGGGGUUGACGAUGAGACUGAACAAUUAAAUAAUUACCAAGUGCACAGUGUUUACAAUUCAAUGGACAAUUCACAUCCGCAGACGUCUGAUGGCUACUUGCAGGAUGUGGAGAGCGGUGGCGGCGGAGGACGCGGCAAGAUGCGUAUGUCAGGAGGAGGCACAGAGUCCAACCUAGACACGCCGAUUGACGGUCCAAACGGAAGCUUGGGUGGCGGUCGUCGCCGCAAUAGUCAUGAAAAGGCAAUUCUUGCCAGGAUUUGGGGAAGCUUCGACACCAAGUACAUGAAGCCACUGCUGACCCACUCGAGACCUACUCUCCUGGAGACUCUGCCCGUCUGUUGCAAUCCCAUCGCCAGGCUGCUCACCACAACGCAGCAACUGACACAGGAUGGUAGCGAGUUCAGGCGCGUUGACUCCGACUCUGAUAUCUGCAUAGACAAUGACACUGGCAAUGGCCUUAGCCAGGACGGUGGGCCAGGAGGCGGUGGGCCGGGGUCAGGCGGAACAGGCGCAAGUGUGGGGCGGCGCAACUCCCUCAGUCGCACGGAGACCCAAACAUGAUAAUCCUAGUCCAGGGAGCCGCCUGUCUGUCAGUCUAAGAAAUGAUUAACCAAUGGCUUCUUAUAGCGCACUGCUGUUAAGAUGUUCGUUUGUAUCGUACAAUUAUAAUUUUUGUAUUUAUUUCCAUAAUCUUAUUUCUUAGAUACUAACACGCGACUAACCAUGUUGAAGGCGAGCAUCGAAAUGUUUAUACUUAAGUUUAUUUUUUUGUUAUUUAUAUUAAUUGGUCUCAUUCGAAAUGAAAAAUGUGGAAAAAUGUACAAAUUAGAUUAUUAUUCUUAUGUUCUUUCUUGUUUACACAAUGUGAUUUGGAACUGUAGUUAUAAAAAUAAAUAAAAUAGCGAUUACUGAUUUGAAUCGAUUCGAAAUAUGAGUUAGGUCUUUGCUGAAACUGGCUACCAAACAUCGAGCUCACACAAUAUGAAUCACCUAUACCUUAUCACACGAAUAACUAUUAAGUCCAUUGUUUAAUAUUGUUUAAAC